GUUAUUAACUUAAGGAAUUAUAACAAAGAAGUAACACGUAAUAAAUUUAUUUUAUUUAGUGUGUAUCAAUCGAGUUUCUGACCUAUCAGCUUUUGAUGUUAGGGUAUUGGCCUAACAUGGCUAUGACGGGUAACGGGGAAUUAGAGUUCGAUUCCGGAGAGGGAGCCUGAGAAAUAGCUACCACAUCUAAGGAAGGCAGCAGGCGCGUAAAUUACCCAAUUCUAAAGAAGAGAGGUAGUGACAAGAAAUAACAAUGCAAGGCCAAUUUUUGGUUUUGUAAUUGGAAUGGUGGGAAUUUAAAACCUUCCCAGAGUAACAAUUGGAGGGCAAGUCUGGUGCCAGCAGCCGCGGUAAUUCCAGCUCC
This 364-nucleotide ribosomal RNA is filed under the name Plasmodium falciparum (malaria parasite P. falciparum). RNAcentral's name for it is "SSU rRNA". It matches the Rfam family "Eukaryotic small subunit ribosomal RNA", at positions 234 to 592 of the family's 1831-position model. Lineage: Eukaryota; Apicomplexa; Aconoidasida; Haemosporida; Plasmodiidae. The record is from RNAcentral.